Salvelinus namaycush (lake trout) is the source of this 636-nucleotide long non-coding RNA. RefSeq lists it as uncharacterized. The transcript is spliced from 4 exons. NCBI's taxonomy places the organism in Eukaryota, Metazoa, Chordata, Actinopteri, Salmoniformes, Salmonidae. The record is from RefSeq and is a predicted model, not a curated record.
GGAUUUGCUCCAUCGAGUGCACGUGGCAUUUUUCAGUCCCGAAGAUAAAACUAUGAGCAGGCAUCGUGACCACCCAAGGGCUGAUCCUGGAGUCAACGUGGGACCCUCUGAGGAAACACAGCCUCCUGUUCAGUGUGUCAACAACCCGCUGGGUAAUGUUGGAGUGGUGGUCUACGUCCUGUGCACAUGUCCCAUGAACCAGACACCUCUUCAUGGAGAGAGGGGAUUAACGAUGAAGAGGAACACAUGGAGGUCAACUGACACACACACACACACACUGUGUGCCUUAUUUUAUCAUUUAAUACAAUGCCUGUUUUACAUAUUCGGGGGGUUUUAAGGGCAAUUCCACCAAAGUAAUGCAUGUCUAUUGACUGUUCAGUGAUGAGCAAAAUGGGAAACUGAAGCAAAGAUCAGACACCAACACAUAACCUCUGUGGUUAAUGGUAAUAGUGAGAGAUUAAUCAUUAGCAUGUCUUGGGGGUAUGAUCUUUGACCCUCUGUAACAUUCUCACUCAUCAUAAUUCAUAAUUCAUUCGGUAUUAUCCCUAAUCAUUGUAGCACCCACAUUGUCAGUGGCGUCAUUAGGCCUUGGCUUCCGAGGCUGUUUUUGAUGGUAAAAUAAAAAUUUCAGUCUGA